ACAGAGAAAGAGCAGUAAGAGACCCUAGAAGGUCUCUGGAUCUGGGUAGGAGCAGAUCAGUGAGGGGAACAGUUCAGGGAGGAAUGUCAGAAGACAUGGGGGAUGAUAUGGACGUAGAGCAGAGGAGGGAUGGCAGUCUGGGUGUUAGCAUGUCAGAAGAGGGAAUGGGAGAGUCCCAAGGAGGCACUCAGGCCUCGGGAUUUGUUCAGCCACCCCACUACCCACACUUCUCACAAAAUCCCGGGUAUUCGAUGGGAGGUACAUCGGAUUACCCUAGCUUUACCCCUUAUCCUACACACAUGCCAUACCCACCCUACUACCCACCAUAUUCACAAUACCCAAUGUAUCCACCCCCACCUUACUAUCCAAAUCCAGCAAACCCUACCUCAGAAAAUGUUGCACCUCCUCCACCAUCAGCAGAACCCACAGUUCCAGCAACCC
Molecule: long non-coding RNA, 441 nt
Filed under: Manihot esculenta (cassava)
Lineage: Eukaryota; Viridiplantae; Streptophyta; Magnoliopsida; Malpighiales; Euphorbiaceae
Description: long non-coding RNA (MESC_LNC007609)
Source: RNAcentral